CUCUCUGUAGCACAAUGAAUAGCGCGUUGGACUUUUGAUCCAAAGGCCGUGGGCUCGAACCCCACCUGAGAUGA
This is a non-coding RNA of Trichonephila inaurata madagascariensis, 74 nucleotides long. The record is from the annotation of a GenBank genome assembly. Lineage: Eukaryota; Metazoa; Arthropoda; Arachnida; Araneae; Nephilidae.